AUUGGACGCUGGCGGCAUGCCUUACACAUGCAAGUCGAACGGCAUCGCGGGAAAGCUUGCUUUCCUGGCGGCGAGUGGCGAACGGGUGAGUAACACAUCGGAACGUACCGGCUAGUGGGGGAUAACCCGUCGAAAGACGGGCUAAUACCGCAUACGCUCUUCGGAGGAAAGCAGGGGACCUUUGGGCCUUGCGCUAGUCGAGCGGCCGAUGUCCGAUUAGCUAGUUGGUGGGGUAAAGGCCUACCAAGGCGACGAUCGGUAGCGGGUCUGAGAGGACGAUCCGCCACACUGGGACUGAGACACGGCCCAGACUCCUACGGGAGGCAGCAGUGGGGAAUCUUGGACAAAGGGGGCAACCCUGAUCCAGCAAUGCCGCGUGGGUGAAGAAGGCCUUCGGGUUGUAAAGCCCUUUCGGCAGGGAAGAAAUCGGCGGGGCGAAUAACCCUGCUGGAUGACGGUACCUGCAGAAGAAGCACCGGCUAACUACGUG
RNAcentral lists this ribosomal RNA (490 nucleotides) under uncultured bacterium. RNAcentral's name for it is "partial 16S ribosomal RNA". It matches the Rfam family "Bacterial small subunit ribosomal RNA", at positions 29 to 507 of the family's 1533-position model. The record is from RNAcentral.